Molecule: long non-coding RNA, 202 nt
Filed under: Mytilus galloprovincialis (Mediterranean mussel)
Lineage: Eukaryota; Metazoa; Mollusca; Bivalvia; Mytilida; Mytilidae
Source: RNAcentral
AAUAAAUCAUCGAACUAAAAUUUUAGAAAUGAUGAUAAAAGAGCAUAACAAACAUAUUGCUAGAAAGGUGAAAUAUAUAUUGAUUUUGCAUAUUUUUUUGUCUUCAAAGAUGAUUUUUUUUUCUUUUUUUUUUCCCGACCGACCGACCCGACUUUUUCAUGGGGAAAAUCCGUAAACCAACAAAUUAAAAAACCGUGGCCUA